Molecule: ribosomal RNA, 286 nt
Filed under: uncultured bacterium
Lineage: Bacteria
Description: partial 16S ribosomal RNA
Rfam family: Bacterial small subunit ribosomal RNA
Source: RNAcentral
GUCCCUACGGGGGGCAGCAGUGGGGAAUAUUGCACAAUGGGCGAAAGCCUGAUGCAGCAACGCCGCGUGAAGGAAGAAGGCCUUCGGGUCGUAAACUUCUGUCCUUGGGGAAGAAGAACUGACGGUACCCAAGGAGGAAGCCCCGGCUAACUACGUGCCAGCAGCCGCGGUAAUACGUAGGGGGCAAGCGUUGUCCGGAAUUACUGGGCGUAAAGGGCGCGUAGGUGGGCGCUUAAGUCAGGUGUGAAAACUCCGGGCUCAACCUGGAGACUGCAUUUGAAACUGG